This 508-nucleotide ribosomal RNA is filed under the name uncultured bacterium. Its description in RNAcentral is "partial 16S ribosomal RNA". It matches the Rfam family "Bacterial small subunit ribosomal RNA", at positions 28 to 507 of the family's 1533-position model. The record is from RNAcentral.
GACGAACGCUGGCGGCGUGCCUAAUACAUGCAAGUCGAACGCUUCUUUCCUCCCGAGUGCUUGCACUCAAUUGGAAAGAGGAGUGGCGGACGGGUGAGUAACACGUGGGUAACCUACCCAUCAGAGGGGGAUAACACUUGGAAACAGGUGCUAAUACCGCAUAACAGUUUAUGCCGCAUGGCAUAAGAGUGAAAGGCGCUUUCGGGUGUCGCUGAUGGAUGGACCCGCGGUGCAUUAGCUAGUUGGUGAGGUAACGGCUCACCAAGGCCACGAUGCAUAGCCGACCUGAGAGGGUGAUCGGCCACACGGGGACUGAGACACGGCCCAGACUCCUACGGGAGGCAGCAGUAGGGAAUCUUCGGCAAUGGACGAAAGUCUGACCGAGCAACGCCGCGUGAGUGAAGAAGGUUUUCGGAUCGUAAAACUCUGUUGUUAGAGAAGAACAAGGACGUUAGUAACUGAACGUCCCCUGACGGUAUCUAACCAGAAAGCCACGGCUAACUACGUG